Molecule: long non-coding RNA, 1927 nt
Organism: Cucumis sativus (cucumber)
Lineage: Eukaryota; Viridiplantae; Streptophyta; Magnoliopsida; Cucurbitales; Cucurbitaceae
Exons: 2
Source: RefSeq, a predicted model, not a curated record
AAGUUUUGCCAUUGAGAUUGAAAACAUACCUUCAGUAUCAUUUUAAAUAAAUAAUCUCAAGCUUAAAAUUCCAAUAGACGUGCGCACCAAACCAAUGUCAUAUCGGCAGGCAUCUCUCUGUUACAUAUUGCUUGACCCUUUUGCUUGUGUAAGUUUGCAACAUCAUUAAUUCAUUUUAAAUCGCUUUUAGCUUUUAACAAUACCAAUACAAACGUGCUUGUUUAACCAGACAGUUCUGAUAUCGUUGAAAUUUGAUAUAGUAACAAGUUGUUGAUUUUACAUUCCCUCAAUAACCUAUGAUCUUUAGUAAAAUGAGAGAAUAAGCAGCUGCACUGCCUCAUACACUGAUCUCAUUGGCAUGACCUGCGUUUUGGGGGAGGCCAAGUAAAUCUCUAUCUCUUCAGCUCCAAGUGUUUCUCAUUGAUCCAUUUCAGGUAACUUUCCACACUGUCUAGCCCACAUAGCUCUUUCGCGUAACCAGUUUUCUCUAUUGUUCCCGAAACCCAAGAAAACCGUGUUAAAAGUGUUUGUUGGCCAGACAAACCCGAACAUAAAAAUUUAAAACACGAGAAACCAUAUUGCAAAAGAACCAAGUGAUUUAUACUAACAUUUCUAAUCAUCACUUAAAAGUGAUUAAUUCAUGUUACAAGCUGAAAAAUAAAGGAAGCAAAUUUUUAAAAAUCAUAAAACAAAAAUAAACAACAAUAGACUAAAGUUUAGAAUAAGAAAAAAUUGAAAAAGAUGAGAAGUUGCCGAAAAUAGGAGGUGCAGAGCUUCCCCUUCUUCCUCCAACUUCUCUCCCAUGGAAAAAUGGCUUCCUCUUCUCCAAAACCAACCUCUUUUACAUCUAUACGGCUAUCUUAAACUCCUCAACCUUUAAAAUGAAAAUCAGAUGAAAUAGGUCAGUGGGAUUCCAUUGGAGUCUUCUUAUUGGUCAGCUUAGCAGAAAAACUGAGGUAAAAUGGAAAGCUAGCUCAAUUAACGAUUUAUGAAAAUUUCUCCUCUGUGCUGAUUCCAUUUUCUCCUUUGAAUUGAUUUCAAAUGCUCAUAUUUUACUCCAACAAAAGCUUUUGCUAAUUAAAUGCUCUAUCAAUGCCGUGUUGCAGAAAACGUGCCUACAUCAGAACUUUAAUUACCAAAAUGCUCAAACGAGAACUACGAGCAUUUUACUGAUGUUGCUUGAUAAAACAGAUAAUUUGUGACAAGAAAUAAUCAUUCGUGAAUCACUCACAAUUAUUAAAUCUAGCACUUCACUCUUAUUUUAAGAGUUUUCCUUUUAAAAGGAUACACGUCUCUUUGUUAAUAAAGAUAUAAAUAAUGAGACAAAAGCUUUGUUAAUAAAGAUAUAAAUAAUGAGACAAAAGCUCAUCCAUCAUCAUCAAAAGUAUAAAAUGGAUCCAGAGACGCACCUCAUUGUGCCAUCAUCAUAUCCACCGCCUACCAGAAGCAUAACUAAGCCAUCAAAGGCAAAUACAAAAGGUGAGAUAGUAGUUAUCAAUACUCAAAUGAUGCUUUAUUUUAAGAGUUAUAAGUACUCAAAUGAAGCUUUUUUUGGUUGAAAGACAUCACAAUAUGUUCCAGGUACUUUUUGUUUUUUUCCUCUAAGAGCAGCCUAGGGGCCAAGUGCAGAGAGAACCCCUCCAUUAAUGAGUCAAAGCUCUAUCUAAAAAGUCCCUUGGUGAAACAUCAACAACCUUUUGGCUCAAGAGGAUGUAAGGAAUGCAAAUGCUACCAUUGUCCAGUCUUUUCUUUAAUGAAGUGUCGAUCAAUCUCCACAUGUCUAAUUCGUCUAAUUCUAUCAUGUUGAACUGGAUUGUUGGUGAUUCUGAUAGCUGCCUUAUUACCACAAAAUAAUUUCAUUGCCACCUUAAUUAAAUUUUAUUUAUAUUAAUAUCUCCAUCCAUUCACUUUUGAGUGGCAAUAACUA